GCCUGGGUGGCUUAGUCGGUUAAGCGCCUGACUUCGGCUCAGGUCAUGAUCUCUCGGUUUGUGAGUUCGAGCCCCACAUCUGUGCU
Non-coding RNA from Felis catus (domestic cat), 86 nucleotides. Lineage: Eukaryota; Metazoa; Chordata; Mammalia; Carnivora; Felidae. The record is from Rfam.